AAACAGAGAGUCCAGAUGGUGUUUGAAGGAGUGGACACUGUAGCGUCCAUCUCUCUGAAUGGAGUCGUUGUGGGAAAGACAGACAACAUGUUCCGCAGAUAUGACUUUAGCGUAGGCCGGUUGUUGAAGGAAGAGGAGAACGUUGUGAAGGUGAGCCUCCUCUCCCCUGUCGUGUACGCCUCAGAGAGGAGUCAGGCUCACUCCUCCUACAGAGUGCCCCCUGACUGCCCUCCACCCGUCCAGAAGGGAGAAUGUCACGUCAACUUUAUCAGAAAGGCUCAGAGUUCCUUCAGUUGGGACUGGGGACCGUCGUUCCAACCCUGGGCUGUGGAAGGGUGUUCGUCUGGAGGCCUUUGAUGUUCUGCGCCUCAUCCAUCUCUCUACUGUACCAGUCUAUAACUCCUCUCUGUCUCAGUGGGUGGUGAAGGUGGACGUGUUGGUUGUUGCCGUGGAGGAGACUAAAGUCCAGGUCAACCUCUCUCUGAUGGAGCUGUCUUCAGAACAGACCUUCACAGUGGUGUUUCCAUCUGGGAAGAGCAAGAACACCUUGAUCCUCCAUGUCAACACAGUUAGUAUGGGCUGCUGGGUGGGAA
Molecule: non-coding RNA, 593 nt
Organism: Salvelinus sp. IW2-2015
Lineage: Eukaryota; Metazoa; Chordata; Actinopteri; Salmoniformes; Salmonidae
Source: RefSeq, a predicted model, not a curated record